UUAUUAUUGUCUGAUUUAAGUAAAAUAUUGUAAAUAUUUUCAAAAAAGUAAAACCUUUUAUAAUAAA
This 67-nucleotide transfer RNA is filed under the name Didemnum vexillum. RNAcentral describes it as "tRNA-Tyr". The record is from RNAcentral. Lineage: Eukaryota; Metazoa; Chordata; Ascidiacea; Aplousobranchia; Didemnidae.